Molecule: ribosomal RNA, 497 nt
Filed under: uncultured bacterium
Lineage: Bacteria
Description: partial 16S ribosomal RNA
Rfam family: Bacterial small subunit ribosomal RNA
Source: RNAcentral
GAUGAACGCUGGCGGCGUGCCUAAUACAUGCAAGUCGAGCGAACAGACGAGGAGCUUGCUCCUCUGACGUUAGCGGCGGACGGGUGAGUAACACGUGGAUAACCUACCUAUAAGACUGGGAUAACUUCGGGAAACCGGCGCUAAUCCCGGAUAAUAUAUUGAACCGCAUGGUUCAAUAGUGAAAGACGGUUUUGCUGUCACUUAUAGAUGGAUCCGCGCCGCAUUAGCUAGUUGGUAAGGUAACGGCUUACCAAGGCAACUAUGCGUAGCCGACCUGAGAGGGUGAUCGGCCACACUGGAAGUGAGACGGGGCCCAGAGUCCUACGGGAGGCAGCAGAAGGGAAUCUUCCGCAAUAGGCGGAAGCCUGGCGGAGCAACGCCGCGUGAGUGAUGAAGGUCUUCAGAUCGUAAAACUCUGUUAUUAGGGGAGAACAAAUGUGUAAGUAACUAAGCACGUCUUGACGGUACCUAGUCAGAAAGCCACGGCUAACUACGUG